AUGAGAGAGGGGGCAGAAAAUAGAGGCAGGCCUGGAGGCGGAGCCUUCGCUCUGAUUGGCUGCAGCAAAAAGGGGCCGUCACAGAGAGGGCCGGAUUAGCAGAGGUGGGGGAGGUGCUUUGCUUUUAGCUGCAGAUCAGUGCACAACGGCGAGAGAUUAACACUGUUCACAAACCCAGAGACAUGAGGAAGAUGGAAGAGGACCUCGAAUGUGUCUGUGCGAGAAACAGAAAGCUGAUUUAGGACUGCUCUGCACUGGUUUCUUCUUCUAGGAGUGCCUCAGGGUAAGGACUCACUGUCCCUUGACUGUCUCUUUUAGGACUCUCUCUGAUCCUUUGAGGCAUGGACUACAUAUCAUUUCAGCCUUUCUGGGACUCUUCCUCUAAGAUUUCGGAGCGUCUUCUUUCACCCCGUUUCUAAAAGAGUGAGAGAUAUUUGUGUCUCGUACUGAUUCUAUCAGACUUGAAGGGUUUCAUUCGAGAGUUCCUUCAGUCUUUUCUGCCUUUCUCUCUCUCUCUCUGUGUGUGUCUUUGUGAUCAUGCACUGAAAUCAUCAGUUCAUACAUCGAGGGCACACCUGUCUCUCAAAUUCACUCACUUGUGUGGAUCUAACCAGAACUCUGCAGCUGGAAUUUUGGGAUGGAUAUUGCGAUGGAUUUUGGGAUUGCCAUAUUUUUUGUUUAACGCUGAACCUGCCGCACAAGACAAGGUGAAAAGGGGUAAGAACUUUUGUUUCACAGAGGUUGAAAGUAAAGGUUUUCCAGUGCUUACUUAGUCUGGGUCAGCAAACACAUCUCUUCUGCAUCACAGAGCUUCCAAGACAUAUUCUGUGCCGAAUUGGAUUGCUUAGGCCUUCGGCGGCAAAACUCGGAUAAGCAAGGCAGAUGCAAGCUGUAAAGACUGUCCCAGGGCCGUGCUGGUGUGGAGCAGAGAUGUCUCUGACAGCAUGAGAGAUUGCAGGAGAUAGUUCAGAUGAGCCUACUGGAGAUCACUUUGUUUUGAAGGGUCGGUGAAGAAGAGGGGAACGCACUGUGAUUCAUGCUCCCCUAAUGGAAAGCUCUCAGUGCCCUGGAAUACACAUUUCAGUACAACAUGCUCCCAGUUUUCAUCCACAGGAAAAAUUCUUCUUGCCCCUUUAGAAAGGUAGAGGAAUAGGGGAAAAAUUGCUAUCCUUACACACAGGCAUCAUAAACGCCACACAAUCUUUUGACACCCUGUUCACCCCACCUACUGAAAACAGUGGAUUUAGUCAAAGCUUCUGCUGUCAUCCUUUAUCAUAAUGUGAUGAAAUUUCUCACCGUUGGCUUAAAAUGCAUCUCUGAUCAAAUUAUAGGAGUUCAAAUGGAGUGUCUUAUGCAAAUUACUUCAGUUUGAUGAAAAAAGUAACAGAAGCAGAUGCCUUUUUAGCCAUACCAGGUCAAUUUAUGGGGUUUUCAGCCGUGCCUCAGUGCAAUGAGCGUUCUCUCCUCUUUCACUCACAUGAUUGAAGAACAAACUCAAUUUUUACUGACACGUGAUCUCUCGAACUCAGUACUUUGCAGGGGUCUGAGGGGCGUUGGCAAGAAGUGAAUACCUCAGAUGAACUCAGAUCCCUUUAAAGCUAAAAACAUUGUACCCUGAAAAAGGCCUUUCUUUCAGUUUUAUUGAAAUAAAUAUUUGGUGAGAUUGAAGAAAUUACAACAGCAAUAUCAUAUAAAGGAUUUUUAUACAUUUGGCAGACACUUUCAUCCUUGGUGCUACUGAUGCCUUGCCCUGUGCCAGCUGAGCCAAAUAAUUAUAUACUGCUUUUGUAUUAUUAUUGU
Molecule: long non-coding RNA, 1800 nt
Organism: Carassius gibelio (silver crucian carp)
Lineage: Eukaryota; Metazoa; Chordata; Actinopteri; Cypriniformes; Cyprinidae
Exons: 3
Source: RefSeq, a predicted model, not a curated record